This 2086-nucleotide long non-coding RNA is filed under the name Nicotiana tabacum (common tobacco). RNAcentral's name for it is "long non-coding RNA (NTAB_LNC002963)". The record is from RNAcentral. Lineage: Eukaryota; Viridiplantae; Streptophyta; Magnoliopsida; Solanales; Solanaceae.
UCUUAGCACAUUAUAUCCUUUUAAGUGCUUUUUUCAAUAAAAUACUUUUCCAAAAUUAAAGUUGUAAUUUUAAAUGAUAAAAUUAAUUAUCAAUCAUAGGUUCAAAUAAACAAAUCACAAAGAUUAACAACAUCAGACAGAAUAAGUAGAAAACAAAGCCGCCAUAGGCGAUCCCAAGCGAUUCGCUUGUUUUAUUCACUAUCCGGUGCUCUAAGGAAGAUGGUAUGCAACGACUCCAUGUUGUGAUGGGGUAACAUUGAGUCUCUAUGAGACUCCACUACGAGUCUCAAAUUAAGACUCUGUUUGCUCCAAAGCAUGCAUGCAAAGAAAGGAAAAAUAAAGAAUUAGGAGUCAUCCAUAACAGUAAUAGCAUAUAAAGGCAAUAAAACUAGUAUUAUACUUCUUUUGAUUUAUAACAGGACCUUAGUAGUUUAUAAGUCCCUAUUUCUUGUAGAUAUUACUGAUGAUCAUCUGCUUUGGUUAGUUACCCUCUAUAUUAAAGGUAAAUUUAGGGUGAAUACAUAAUGAAUGCACUUUAGAUUACCGGAUUCAAAAUAAAGAAGAUAUGCUGUCAUGCAAUCAAGAUUUCAGUACUUAGAGGAAAGACUAAAAUUUAUAAUAUGUUUACAAUCCAACAAUAUGUAUUCAACAGUUAGUGAUAACCAUUAGACAAUUUUCAUAGUUCAAUAAACCUACAGGCGUAUUCUUCUAUGGUUAAACGAAUCCAAACAAUAGACUACAAAGCAUUCUAUAUUCCUCAAAAACCAAUAGUCUUCUACAUUCAGACAAAAAAAAGAUAGUAUUUGGCAUGGUAAAUUUCGCAUACUCAUAGUAACUAGACAUGAAUUCUACUCUCUUAAAAUUCUCUGCAAAAUAAUGGGGCCUAUUGGCAUAGUAUUUAUAAACCUCUAGUAAAUAAGUGUGUAUUUAUAAAUAAAAUGAGUCCUAAACAUGAUAUAGAUAUCAACUAAAUCACGAUUUAUAUAUAUUUAAAUAAAAAACGCUUAACAUACUACUUUUAACAAAUCUAAGAAUCACAAGAAUGUCAUAUUAACUUAAUGAUUUUUCAAACAUAUGACGAAUACUUAUUUUCAUGAUAUCUAGGACAUAGGACAUGAAUUAAUCUCAACUUAAACCAAAUCAAAAAAAUAUUCAAAACUAGCAGAUUCGAAAGAAAAGGGGAAGGAUAAAAAGAAGAAAGCACUGACCACUCAAUCUUUUAAAAAUAUAUGGUCUAUCUUAUAAAAUGCUUAAAGGCAUAGUUUCUAUACAACUCCUAAAACAUGACUCUUAUACUUAGAUCAUAAUUCCUGGCUAAAACGGCAUAACCCAUUUUGUAGAGUAAUUUUAACAAACAUGUCUUCUUCACAUUUAGUAAGUAAACAGCUAGAAUACGACUCACUAAGGAACGCAAUUUCUACAGAAGACGAAACAACACAUACUUUACGUCUAAUAACAAAAUAAGGGAACAAAAGAUUACAGUUUAGAAAGAAAACUAACCUGUUGCGGAGCAGCGAACCGAGGCAUGGAUCUUAGAUUCGUUAUCGAACUCUGAUUUUGAGACCACUCUUUCAUCUCAGACAAAUGCAUAUUCGACUAAAAUAAAUGAAGAUAAUCGAUUUUAUGCAAGGGUAAAUACCCAACAUAAAUAGCUGGGGAGUAAAAAAGAAUGAAGCUUUUCUGAGAUAAAUAACAGUUAAUAAGCAUAUGAUAAUUUAUAGAGGGGAAGAGAGGCGGCUCUAAGUUUGGUCUCAAAAGGUGAAGGCAACAACUAAAGACCUUCAAUAUUUGGGGUAAAAGGGGUGGCUCUCAGCUUGGUCGAAAAUCUUUUCAAAGGCGGGUAUUUAUAGGCUGAUUUCUAGGGUUCUUGGUUUAGGCGAGAUUUCGAAAUUGAGUGAAAAGCUCUUGAACAUUGAUAUUGACGAAAAUUAAAUGAGGUGCAAAGCUUCUUGUUCAAAAAUGGUAAUGGCAGGUCUGCCAUGGCUGGGCAACAAUGGAAUUUUUGAAGAAAAGGUAAGGGAGGAGAAGAAGCGUCUGUUUUGGAGAGAGAAUGGAAAAAUUAAAAUGCUAAUUGUGUCUAGGUCUU